GAUGAACGCUGGCGGCGUGCCUAAUACAUGCGAGUCGAGCGAACAGACGAGGAGCUUGCUCCUCUGACGUUAACGGCGGACGGGUGAGUAACUCGUGGAUAACCUACCUAUAAGACUGGGAUAACUUCGGGAGACCGGAGCUAAUACCGGAUAAUAUAUUGAACCGCAUGGUUCAAUAGUGAAAUACGGUUUUGCUGUCACUUAUAGAUGGAUCCGCGCCGCAUUAGCUAGUUGGUAAGGUAACGGCUUACCAAGGCAACGAUGCGUAGCCGACCUGAGAGGGUGAUCGGCCACACUGGAACUGAGACACGGUCCAGACUCCUACGGGAGGCAGCAGUAGGGAAUCUUCCGCAAUGGGCGAAAGCCUGACGGAGCAACGCCGCGUGAGUGAUGAAGGUCUUCGGAUCGUAAAACUCUGUUAUUAGGGAAGAACAAAUGUGUAAGUAACUAUGCACGUCUUGACGGUACCUAAUCAGAAAGCCACGGCUAACUACGUG
RNAcentral lists this ribosomal RNA (497 nucleotides) under uncultured bacterium. Its description in RNAcentral is "partial 16S ribosomal RNA". It matches the Rfam family "Bacterial small subunit ribosomal RNA", at positions 28 to 507 of the family's 1533-position model. The record is from RNAcentral.